AUACGUAGGGGGCGAGCGUUGUUCGGAAUGAUUGGGCGUAAAGGGCGCGUAGGCGGCCCGGUAAGUCUGGAGUGAAAGUCCUGCUUUUAAGGUGGGAAUUGCUUUGGAUACUGUCGGGCUUGAGUGCAGGAGAGGUAAGUGGAAUUCCCAGUGUAGCGGUGAAAUGCGUAGAGAUUGGGAGGAACACCAGUGGCGAAGGCGACUUACUGGACUGUAACUGACGCUGAGGCGCGAAAGUGUGGGGAGCAAACAGGAUUAGAUACCCUGGUAGUCCACACUGUAAACGAUGAAUGCUAGGUGUAGGGGGUAUCGACCCCUUCUGUGCCGCAGUUAACACAAUAAGCAUUCCGCCUGGGGAGUACGGCCGCAAGGUUGAAACUCAAAGGAAUUGACGGGG
This 397-nucleotide ribosomal RNA is filed under the name uncultured bacterium. Its description in RNAcentral is "partial 16S ribosomal RNA". It matches the Rfam family "Bacterial small subunit ribosomal RNA", at positions 523 to 918 of the family's 1533-position model. The record is from RNAcentral.